Molecule: non-coding RNA, 334 nt
Organism: Paramuricea clavata
Lineage: Eukaryota; Metazoa; Cnidaria; Anthozoa; Malacalcyonacea; Plexauridae
Source: the annotation of a GenBank genome assembly
CAAAAAUUUUCCGUGAAGCCAAAAAUUUUUCUGGAUAUCUUAAAUUUUCGCCAUUUCUUCAAAAUAUUUUUCUAAAUUCCAAAAAUUUCCCAAAAUUUUUAUAAAUAGAAACUAUAAAUUCCCUGAAUCUCGUGAUUUUCCUACAAAAAGCAUCGUUGGAAAUGUGAUUUAUCACGUAUUAUUUUACAACUAAAAGGGCACUUCUGCCCCCCCUGUCCCCCUAGCAAAAGGCAAGGGGGGCAGCCGCCCCUCCCCUGCCCCCCCAGUUCCGGCGUCCCUGGAGAGAUCCCAGACGCAUGUAGAGGUCCUAUCCCAUAAUUAAAGUAAAUGACGU